AUCAACGCUGGCGGCGUGCCUAACACAUGCAAGUCGAACGCGAAAGCCCCGCAAGGGGUAAGUAGAGUGGCAAACGGGUGAGUAACACGUGGGUGACCUGCCUUCGAGUGGGGGAUAACGUCCCGAAAGGGACGCUAAUACCGCAUGACAUCCUGCUUUUGAAAAAGCGGAGAUCAAAGCUGGGGAUCGCAAGACCUAGCGCUUGAAGAGGGGCCCGCGCCUGAUUAGCUAGUUGGUGAGGUAACGGCUCACCAAGGCGACGAUCAGUAUCCGGCCUGAGAGGGCGGACGGACACACUGGGACUGAGACACGGCCCAGACUCCUACGGGAGGCAGCAGUGGGGAAUUGUUCGCAAUGGGCGCAAGCCUGACGACGCAACGCCGCGUGGAGGACGAAGAGCUUCGGGUCGUAAACUCCGGUCGAGCGGGACGAACGCUUCGCGGAUGAAUAAUCCGCGGAAUUGACGGUACCGCUAAAGGAAGCCCCGGCUAACUCCGUG
RNAcentral lists this ribosomal RNA (499 nucleotides) under uncultured bacterium. Its description in RNAcentral is "partial 16S ribosomal RNA". It matches the Rfam family "Bacterial small subunit ribosomal RNA", at positions 29 to 507 of the family's 1533-position model. The record is from RNAcentral.